UAUGACCAAUAAAUUUCUAUUUGCAAGAUAAAGGGCCUGAGGCCAGAGGCAUCACCAUGCGUGUGCCAUGAGGCUGAAAAGCAGACCCGCCCACGUCACGCCUUCAGAGCCCUAGUGGCCGCACGUCACCAGCACGUUCGGAAGAGCUGGAGGAUCCUCUCAGAACCCUGGGUGAUGUAUGACAAUGUUCAGCAGCAGGGAAAAUAGCAGAGUGCGUUGGCACAUGUCACCAAUACUCCAGUUCUCCUUCUGGUGUGACCACAGAACGAUUUUUAGUGACCAGUGUUUCCAUGCCCAGCUUUUGGUUGCAGCCGGUUUUCCAUGAUGUUUGCGGUCCUUAUUUGACUCUGCAAGGACGGAGAAUACCAACUUGAAGAACACCUGCAGUGUCUGAGACUCAGCAUCUAACUUUUCCAUAUGUUCUUUUUUUUUUUUUUCCAGUUCUCCCACUGUGUACUAACCACAAGUAUGCAGGCCUGAAGACUGAAUACUAAUCAAAAGGCAAAAGUGGGUUGGUUGCGGCUCAAGGCCUUAGUAGGAAAUUCCUCCAGCUGCCAGGGCAUGUGUUGAACACAUGACUCCUGCUGGCAAUGGUUGAUGCUCUACACCAGCUGACUACCAGCAACUUGGAAGUUGGGCUAUUUUCCUUUUUAAUUUCCAUUUAAUUUGCAGUUUUAUCAAAAUGAAAUGUUUACUUCACUUUUAGAAAGCAAACAAUUCUACCAGCCUCUAAGGAAAUCCUCCAUCUCUACCAACCCCUGAUUUAUACUUCUCGGAUUAUCCAUUUACUGACCAGAUUAUCCAUUUAAAAUCUAUUCACUGUUUUUGUCCCCAUGUUUCUAAGUAACCUGCUUCUCUUGUGUUGCUUGCUUUUUCAAAUUUAGAUAGAUGUUUUGAUUUCCCAUUAUAAAACACGCAAACUGCACUUUAUUACCUACUCCUGUAUACACACAUGCACACAUACAUGUAGUAUCAGUUAGUUUUGCUGUGUAACAAAUCAUCCCAAAACAUACUGGCUUAGACCAGCCAUUUAUGUACUCACAAAUCUGUGGAUCAGAAAUUUGAACUGGAUUGGGCAAUCCUGGUCUUGACGGAGCUCAUGUUCAGCUGUAGUUGGUUACUGGAGUUGCUGGGGGCUGGCUAGCUGGAGUGGCCUCAGCUAGAGUGCCUCUGCCACUCUCCAUGCAAACUUCCAUCCUCUAGCGAGUUAUGAUGGACUCGUUCACAUGGUGUUUCUGAGCAUAGCAAUAAAUUUUAUCCUCUUGUUUCUUCUAAAUUCACUUGGUAGCUCUUAAAGGAAGACCUAUUGUUAAUAUCUUUAACAGAGAUCCAUGCUGAUGGCUUGCCAUGGACCUUUUUUUGAAGUUUUAAAAACUAU
This is a long non-coding RNA of Capra hircus (goat), 1378 nucleotides long. RefSeq lists it as uncharacterized. The record is from RefSeq and is a predicted model, not a curated record. The transcript has 3 exons. Lineage: Eukaryota; Metazoa; Chordata; Mammalia; Artiodactyla; Bovidae.